Oreochromis aureus is the source of this 1407-nucleotide long non-coding RNA. The record is from Ensembl. NCBI's taxonomy places the organism in Eukaryota, Metazoa, Chordata, Actinopteri, Cichliformes, Cichlidae.
AGAACUAUUCCUCAAGGCCACCUUAAAAAAACAAAAACCUGUUAGGAAGUCUGACUCAAUGGAAUCAAAACAAAGAAGUGAUGGUGGCUCAAGACUUUUGCGCAGUGUGGCAUUAAUUCAUAUAGAGCAGCGUUUACCUCUCCUCAGGUUUGAGGGAUCUUCCUGAAGGCGGUGAUUUCAUACCUUUUCUUUUGAACUGCUUAUCAAAUUACCUCUUUGGCCACACACUACAACUUGGGGUUAAACACGAAGUUGUUUAAAUCAUAAAUAUUAGUUUAAAUUCCUCUGUUUUUUUAUUGUAAAGCAGCAGCAGCAUCUUUGUACUCUGGUGCUCGGUGGAUUCAAUGCACCGUGCUCUCAUUAAACCUUGGCAUGAAAAGUGUAAGUGCCACCGGCUCUUAGCAGAGAACUCGCUUCCUAGAGUCAGAGAGUCGUCAUAAUAAUGCUCAGCUCCCACUACAGUUGUCUUCCUGUGUUAAUGUUUGGUGAAUAAUGCUGCAUCUUUUGUCAGUUUUAUUCUGACAGCCCAGGUGAACACAGGCGGCCCAGAAACACGGAGCAGGGGUCUUUUCCACUGAAUAAUGCAUGCGGCUAAAGUAAUCCUGUCUGUGCAGAUAGUAGGGCAGCCUUUCCCUGCCUGGUCAGCCAGAAGGCAGAAGGUAGGUAGGUGUGUGUCAGUGAAGGCCUCGUGAAACUGCAGACUGCAGGGCACGUGCACACUUGGCGUGCUGAUCUACACCUUCCAGCUGUGUUUUAUUUUGUGUGUUAUACUUUUUCUCCCUCCUCUUUCCUUCGGAGGCAGUAACAAAGCUUUGUGUUUACCUGACAUGCCUCACAGUUUUCCUGCAGCUGUGUUGGGAAUUGUCAAAACAGACUACAAAUAACGAGUCAGCUCUAAAAUCCCACCGCCUCGUUUCGCCUGCUCAGCCAAACAGUCGAGCCGGCGGUCGCUCUCGUAUUGAUACAUGCGAAAGCAAAUGCAGUCUAAUGUUGGACUCGAGUAGGCUUCGAGUGAUUUGUCGUUUCGCUGCUAAAGCCUAAUUGAUUUCUGAGCCAUUACGAAUUCAUGCACGUUUUCUUAGCUGCUGACUGAACGGGAAAUGCAUUCGCCCAAAACCACGCUGACGGCAGAAUUUUUCAGCAGGACGCUGUUUGUCAAAGUGAUUCCUCCACAGCAACCGUGAAACUAAACUGCAUUUUUAUUUAAAGCUUAGAAAUCACCAGUCGCAUCUUGUCUCCGGUGCUUUACCAGCUGUCCUCACGGUUUCCAACAAGGAGCAAACACACACCUUUAUUUUGAAAAUAUUAGAUAUUUUAUUUAAGCAUACACAAGUAAGCAUACACCAUAUUCUUCAUAAUUGAAGUUGUGUAACCUUGUGCAUAAUAGUUAAACCAUGCUAGCCCUCA